RNAcentral lists this ribosomal RNA (495 nucleotides) under uncultured bacterium. RNAcentral describes it as "bacterial SSU rRNA". It matches the Rfam family "Bacterial small subunit ribosomal RNA", at positions 899 to 1397 of the family's 1533-position model. The record is from RNAcentral.
ACUCAAAUGAAUUGACGGGGGCCCGCACAAGCAGUGGAUUAUGUGGUUUAAUUCGAAGCAACGCGAAGAACCUUACCAGGAUUUGACAUCCCACCAACGAAGCGGAAACGCAUUAGGUGCCCUUCGGGGAGGGUGGAGACAGGUGGUGCAUGGUUGUCGUCAGCUCGUGUCGUGAGAUGUUGGGUUAAGUCCCGCAACGAGCGCAACCCUUAUUGUUAGUUGCUACGCAAGAGCACUCUAGCGAGACUGCCGUUGACAAAACGGAGGAAGGCGGGGACGACGUCAAAUCAUCAUGCCCCUUAUAUUCUGGGCUACACACGUAAUACAAUGGCGGUCAACAGAGGGAAGCGAAGUGGCGACAUGGAGCAAAUCCCCAAAAGCCGUCUCAGUUCGGAUCGCAGGCUGCAACCCGCCUGCGUGAAGUCGGAAUUGCUAGUAAUCGCGGAUCAGCACGCCGCGGUGAAUACGUUCCCGGGCCUUGCACACACCGCCCGU